Molecule: ribosomal RNA, 465 nt
Filed under: uncultured bacterium
Lineage: Bacteria
Description: partial 16S ribosomal RNA
Rfam family: Bacterial small subunit ribosomal RNA
Source: RNAcentral
GACGAACGCUGGCGGCGUGCUUAACACAUGCAAGUCGAACGGAAAGGCCCUGCUUGCAGGGUACUCGAGUGGCGAACGGGUGAGUAACACGUGGGUGAUCUGCCCUGCACUUCGGGAUAAGCCUGGGAAACUGGGUCUAAUACCGGAUAGGAGCCAUUUUUAGUGUGAUGGUUGGAAAGUUUUUUCGGUGUAGGAUGAGCUCGCGGCCUAUCAGCUUGUUGGUGGGGUAAUGGCCUACCAAGGCGGCGACGGGUAGCCGGCCUGAGAGGGUGGACGGCCACAUUGGGACUGAGAUGCGGCCCAGACUCCUACGGGAGGAAGCAGUGGGGAAUAUUGCACAAUGGGCGCAAGCCUGAUGCAGCGACGCCGCGGGGGGGAUGACGGCCUUCGGGUUGUAAACUCCUUUCGCUAGGGACGAAGCUUUUUGUGACGGUACCUAGAUAAGAAGCACCGGCUAACUACGUG